This 484-nucleotide ribosomal RNA is filed under the name uncultured bacterium. Its description in RNAcentral is "partial 16S ribosomal RNA". It matches the Rfam family "Bacterial small subunit ribosomal RNA", at positions 30 to 507 of the family's 1533-position model. The record is from RNAcentral.
AUUGAACGCUGGCGGCAGGCCUAACACAUGCAAGUCGAGCGGAUGAAGGGAGCUUGCUCCUGGAUUCAGCGGCGGACGGGUGAGUAAUGCCUAGGAAUCUGCCUGGUAGUGGGGGAUAACGUCCGGAAACGGGCGCUAAUACCGCAUACGUCCUGAGGGAGAAAGUGGGGGAUCUUCGGACCUCACGCUAUCAGAUGAGCCUAGGUCGGAUUAGCUAGUUGGUGGGGUAAAGGCCUACCAAGGCGACGAUCCGUAACUGGUCUGACAGGAUGAUCAGUCACACGGGAACUGAGACACGGUCCAGACUCCUACGGGAGGCAGCAGUGGGGAAUAUUGGACAAUGGGCGAAAGCCUGAUCCAGCCAGGCCGCGUGUGUGAAGAAGGUCUUCGGAUUGUAAAGCACUUUAAGUUGGGAGGAAGGGCAGUAAGUUAAUACCUUGCUGUUUUGACGUUACCAACAGAAUAAGCACCGGCUAACUUCGUG